This 468-nucleotide ribosomal RNA is filed under the name uncultured bacterium. RNAcentral describes it as "partial 16S ribosomal RNA". It matches the Rfam family "Bacterial small subunit ribosomal RNA", at positions 28 to 507 of the family's 1533-position model. The record is from RNAcentral.
GACGAACGCUGGCGGCGUGCUUAACGCAUGCAAGUCGAACGGAAAGGCCCUGCUUUUGUGGGGUGCUCGAGUGGCGAACGGGUGAGUAACACGUGAGUAACCUGCCCUUGACUUUGGGAUAACUUCAGGAAACUGGGGCUAAUACCGGAUAGGAGCUCCUGCUGCAUGGUGGGGGUUGGAAAGUUUCGGCGGUUGGGGAUGGACUCGCGGCUUAUCAGCUUGUUGGUGGGGUAGUGGCUUACCAAGGCUUUGACGGGUAGCCGGCCUGAGAGGGUGACCGGCCACAUUGGGACUGAGAUACGGCCCAGACUCCUACGGGAGGCAGCAGUGGGGAAUAUUGCACAAUGGGCGGAAGCCUGAUGCAGCAACGCCGCGUGCGGGAUGACGGCCUUCGGGUUGUAAACCGCUUCCGCCUGUGACGAAGCGUGAGUGACGGUAAUGGGUAAAGAAGCACCGGCUAACUACGUG